This 251-nucleotide long non-coding RNA is filed under the name Linum usitatissimum (flax). RNAcentral describes it as "long non-coding RNA (LUSI_LNC003913)". The record is from RNAcentral. Lineage: Eukaryota; Viridiplantae; Streptophyta; Magnoliopsida; Malpighiales; Linaceae.
UAGAUAGCUAGCUAGCUAGACCCACCAACACUCCCACCACCACCACCAUCCCUUUUUCCCCUUUAAUUUCCCAGUAGCUAGCUUACUUCUCCUUCAAAACUUCAACUGCCCUCACAUAAAGCUAGCUACUGCCUUUAGCUUCUUCUGCUAUCUUGCUAGAUCCUCACUUCCAGUUCUCUCUUUCAAUUUCUCCUGUUUCUGGGUUCUGGGUUUGAAUGUCAUUGAGGUUUCCUCAAGUGGGUACAUUUCUG